RNAcentral lists this ribosomal RNA (497 nucleotides) under uncultured bacterium. RNAcentral's name for it is "partial 16S ribosomal RNA". It matches the Rfam family "Bacterial small subunit ribosomal RNA", at positions 28 to 507 of the family's 1533-position model. The record is from RNAcentral.
GAUGAACGCUGGCGGCGUGCCUAAUACAUGCAAGUCGAGCGAACGGACGAGAAGCUUGCUUCUCUGAUGUUAGCGGCGGACGGGUGAGUAACACGUGGAUAACCUACCUAUAAGACUGGGAUAACUUCGGGGAACCGGAGCUAAUACCGGAUAAUAUUUUGAACCGCAUGGUUCAAAAGUGAAAGACGGUCUUGCUGUCACUUAUAGAUGGAUCCGCGCUGCAUUAGCUAGUUGGUAAGGUAACGGCUUACCAAGGCAACGAUGCAUAGCCGACCUGAGAGGGUGGUCGGCGACACUGGAACUGAGACACGGUCCAGACUCCUACGGGAGGCAGCAGUAGGGAAUCUUCCGCAAUGGGCGAAAGCCUGACGGAGCAACGCCGCGUGAGUGAUGAAGGUCUUCGGAUCGUAAAACUCUGUUAUUAGGGAAGAACAUAUGUGUAAGUAACUGUGCACAUCUUGACGGUACCUAAUCAGAAAGCCACGGCUAACUACGUG